This is a long non-coding RNA of Neltuma alba, 109 nucleotides long. RefSeq lists it as uncharacterized. The record is from RefSeq and is a predicted model, not a curated record. The transcript is spliced from 3 exons. NCBI's taxonomy places the organism in Eukaryota, Viridiplantae, Streptophyta, Magnoliopsida, Fabales, Fabaceae.
AACCAAGAUCUUCAGCCAUUGAAGUAAAGUAAAACAAUAGCAAACUCAACUGAUUGCAGCAAGUUUCCAAGCAAUUCGCUGGUGUGUAUAUUUAUGGGCUCCUCUUGCA